Zonotrichia leucophrys gambelii is the source of this 5487-nucleotide long non-coding RNA. RefSeq lists it as uncharacterized. The transcript has 3 exons. NCBI's taxonomy places the organism in Eukaryota, Metazoa, Chordata, Aves, Passeriformes, Passerellidae. The record is from RefSeq and is a predicted model, not a curated record.
AGUGCAUCAACAGCAGGGGAUAAAAGGUUGGGCUGAUAAAGGGCAGAGCGCUGUAGCCCCCUGAAGUGGGGAGAUGGUCCUCUGUAUGGGCAGAUGCCUGAAGCCUUCAGAAGAGACCUUGGUCUCCUCCCUGUGCCACCUCUUGUCUGAGCUGAGGCAUCCUCCCACAUGGAGAAAGGAGCUUCAAAAAGCACUGGUCAAUCCAUUCUUCUUCAUGCCUUGUCAGUCCUUGCUAAGAGGGGGUGUGAGACAUUCCCCCCCAUAAGUCACGACUUAGGCGAACCUCAGGAUCAUCUUCUCAUGGUGGCUUUUAAAAAGGAAGGCUUUGCCUUCCUUUGCUUCAGCCUUUCAGUGAUCCUUUGAGAUCCCACAUGUUUGUGACCAUUCCUGAGCCCCAAGCUGGAAUUUCUAAAGCACUACCAGCAGCAAGCCCAAGCAAAAUAGUGAUGGCUGAGAGCAGAAGGAAGCAGCGUGUGCUCACAGUGUGGAGAACUGCACAUGCAGGGAGGAGCUGCUGCUGGAGACCAGCUUUUGUCUGCCUCUGCCCACCUGGAAAGAAGGCCACCCCUUCUGCAAACAUUCCCACAGUUUUCCUUCUGGAAGAACUUGCCUGCAGAAGAUGGAUUCCCUCCCUCAUGCCUUAUGCCCUACCAUGUAAUCUGGGCCAUUCCUUUAGUUUUUUUAUCUGAUGCUGAGGAGCCUGGAGGAAAGGCCCUGCCCAAAGGAGCUCUGCUGGAGAGCAGAAAGCACAAGGCAAACAAUAAAACAUCCUCCUGCAGCCCCCCUUUAGUUUGCCAUUUUGACUUCAGAUGCAAGCUGCCAUCAUUUCCACAUGGAUCAGCCACAUGAAAAGCACCACUAAACAGUUCUCUGAGUUUCUCAACAAGAAACACAGCAGCUAAAUAUAUUUAAUCUGUGUGUAUUGUUCAUCUUGGCUUUAAUUUCCUGUUCUCAAAAGGUUUAGGAAUUUAAACCCAUGAAUCAUUACUGAAGCUGUUAAUGCUUGGAGGCUUUUUCAGAAAUGGAGAUAAAGGAGCUGAUAUUAAUACCAGCUUAGCACAAAUUCAGCCAGAACAACUCUGUGGGAACUUCCUGCCAUCCCAGAGAUACCUCUUGCUUUCUAACCAUGACAAAAGCUGCUAAGAAGUGGGUAGAUGGAUGAAAUCAUUCUCCCCCAGGUAAACAGGAUGCAUCCAUUCAAAAACAUCUCUCUGGCAGGUUAUGGGCUGCAUCAUGCCUAUCUGGAGACCUCUAGAGCACUGUACUGUUCCUCUGUUUCUAAAAUUGCAGAGUCUAUUUCUAAAAUCUCAGAGUGCAGUCAUGAGAUUUCUCUGGGGCUGGAGGUCAUGCACUUCCUCAGGCUGAAUAAAAGAUGGGAAGAAAUCUUUGCUCAGUUCCAUUUCACUGGGUGCUAGGUGGCUGCUUUUAUACCUGCAGGAUCCUCCCAAACUCCUGACCUCAACAGGCUCCCAGGUAUGUCAGAAACAAGGUCUGGCUGUGAGAUGCUUCAGUAAAGGAUGGUGGCUUCUACUCCUCUGCAGAUGGAACAGGAUUUGUUGGUAAAUCAAGUUAUUAAUCUUCUUCCAAGAGUCUGGUUUGGCUGGAAGACCAUGCCAGACUUCCUUUGAAUCCUCUGGGAUUGAACACUGAAGGUCAAAACAGGAAGUCCAGGAGAACUCACAGAAGGAUCCUAACUAGUGAUUGUAGUCAGAAGUGAAACAAAAACUAUGUGGGGACUGUUUUUAUAUUUUUGUCUUGGCUUUAGUUCUAGAAUGUUACAGAAAUAGAAAAUUACUGAGGUGGGAAGUGACUUCUGGAGGUCUUUUUGUCCAAUCCCCUAGACACAGCAGGGCCAACUGCCUGGUUGAUGAUAAUUAUAAAUGUGAAUGUUCAGAGGAAACUGCCUCAUUCUUGUUUGAUUUGUACCUUUUGGUACAUAAAAGCUUAGAAGCUACAAGGCAGCUGCAGGAAAAUGUUUGGAAGGAACACAAUUCAUCCUCCUGAGAAGGGCUGCUCUAAUGAUUGCUCUUUUCAGGAUGGAAGAGAAGUGGUCUGGUUUCUAGCAUCUUCCUUCCUCCACUUCCCUCAGGACAGGGAGGCCCCUGGUGUAGAGGAGGCCGAACUGCUUUGUCUUGCUGCCUGCGCUGAGGGUGUGCUGUAGAGCUGGAAAUUGUGCUGUGGCUGGAGCCCCUGCUGCCCAACAAGUGUAUGGGGGAAGGAGGCAUGGGGAUAAGGGGCAGGAAGGCAGAGCAGUGUUGUGCUAGCUCAGGAAUGUGCUGGCUUGGGAAGGGCCUGGAUCUCCAGCCAUGCUGUACCAAGUCAUUCCAUGUCCUGGUGGUGAUGGAGCUGCAGCAGGUUUGUGCCAAGUGAAAGCACUGCCCUGUUUGGGAAGAACUGCACUAUUUGCUUGUAUAUUGAUGAAAGUAGAGGUGAACUCUAAUGAGUAAUGAGGAGAUGCCUACAAAUACAUCCGUAGUUUACAUUUUUCUCUUCUAAAACUCUGUCUUUUAAGUGUUGGAGACCUGCAAAGCAAAAUGCUAAGAAAUGCAUCCCCUGUGAGCUGCAGCUCCCACUACCAGAAAUGGUGGCUGAGUCUCUGAGUACCUCAGGGUGUUCCUUGUGGUCCUUUCAGCAGAGCACCGUGAGCACAUUCUGGGAAGUUUGGAUUGCCCCCAGAUUCCCAGCAGAGCCCUGUGACCUGCUUGCUUCUCAUGAAGGAAAAGUCUCUGUUGCCUCCUUACCUCUGUUUUCCAUCAUGGGGGAGCUUGAGUCUCUGAGACUGCAGCCCAUGGCUGUAUCUCUUCCUUUCACAGAGUGCUCUGGAGCCACUCCUGCCCCUGGAACAAGUGCACUCAGAGCCAGAAAGCAUCAGGCUCAGUCAGAGCCUCUGGGGCUGUCUCUCCAUCUGUUUGUUUAAUGACGCGCAGCAGCCUCAUCUCCGACUUCGCCCCUCAGGACAAUAAUCCACUCUGAUGUGCAGGCCAGCCAGCUAUUCUUCCCAGACCAGACUGUGAUUGGGGCAGUGUAGGCCAGAGAAGGCUUAAAAGUCGUUUUAUGAAUAGCUUUAUGGCUCUCAGUUGCUCUGAGAUCUGCAGGACAUGCAGAAUGCUUGCUGGAGUUUGCCUGCUUGUUUUGCGCUGAAGGAAGGGAUGUGCCUCAAAAUCCAGAUAUGCUGAUUCCUGACAUCACUGAGUGAGAGUGGCAAAGCUUAGGGAAGAGAGACUUCAGUGAAAUGCUGGUUUCAAAAUCCUCAGGUUUUUUUAAUUGCUUGGCUUCCAUGGUCUUUGGUGUGAGAAAGUGGAAUGGCUUCUUUCUAUACAGACGAUAAGGUGUCAGAAGGGAAGAGUGGCAGGGGCCCUAAUCCUGACCAUAACCCCUUAGGAAUGCCCAAGUGGUAGUGAAAUAUCCCCAAGAAAGGAAACACAUCCAGGAAUAGUCUUUGGGUUUAAUGCCCUAUUAAAUAAGGGGAAACAUACCCUAGGGAUCAAAAACCAAAAUAUUUGUCUUUCCCAUAGUCCAUUACUAGGUCUUCCCUUUUGUUUUGGAGGUGGAGAUUGUGUGCAGUAAUUCCAGCAUGUUGUGUCUCAGAUUGUGUCUCUCAGGCAGAACCAAGAGGUUACCCAGCUACUCUGGUUCUGUUCAACCAUAAGGUGAUAUGAUCUUAAGGUAUUCUGUAAGCUCCAUGUGCUCUUGGCUCACCAUGGGACCAGGAGAAGAUGUUUCUGGGGCCCUAGAGAAAGAGGUCUGGGAAUGGCAGGGGCAGCUACUCCACCCGCUCUGCCAUUGAGAAACACACCAGCCAAAUAUCCCCAGCUGAACAUCUGCAGUGGCUGGCAAAGGCAGUGCCAGGCUGGAUGAAAUGCAAGUCCAGAAUUACAGAGACAGAUGGAGCAGGGUAAGAGGGAGGCAUGGGUCAGAGGAAAGCAGCAGCUGAAGCGUGCAGGCAGCUCUCUCUGGGGCCAAGGAGCAGGAGCAAUUUCCUUCUGGAGCCAGCCAUCACCCAGCGUGGUACUGAGCACAGGGGGCACUGUCCACGUGAAGUCACCAGCAGGGCAUGAGCAAAAGCCCUAAUGAGGAACAGAACAGGGUUAUCACUCACCCAGGAGCUGCAGCUCUGCCAAAAGAGCCAUAGAUGAAGAACACAGAUGGGAGCAUGUGUCUGCACCCACCCACCUGUGUAAGUGCGGGAUGUGUGCCCAGGGCACGCUGCCCUGCUUGGGUCUCCUGUCCUGAGGGCUUCAGAAUGGACCUCUCCACUUGCUUGAGCCUGUGUUCAGUCAAGAAGCUUGAUUUCAGUGAAACAAGGUCAAACCCUCCUAAAGCCAAGAGUUGAAAGCAAUUUUGAAUGCUUGAGUUGUUUCCACUGAGUGGGAGCUGGGAGCUUGAACAUUUUAAGAUGCUUCCACUUAAGGCAUCAUUAAUUGAUGGUGAAAGUCAGGGUGACUGAAGUCUGUCCCCAUUAUACAUUUGUGAAAGAGCCUCACAGCUCUGGAGGAAGCAGGACAAUUCUUGCUUGCAGUGCCUUUGGAGUGGGAAGGGCCAUGGAUGGGUGGGCGCCUUUCCAUUUCCAUAGCACAGCAUCUCACGGAGUUUAUUCACUGCAAUCAGCUUUUCAAAUUCCUCCAUUUACAUCCUGAUAAUAGCAGACCAAGGCGGUUUUCUCCAUUAUAAAACUCUCCCUCUGCUCCGCCUUAUUCAGAGGUGUUCAGGAAAUCUGGCUCUUUCCCCUCCUCUUCCCUGCUCCCCCAAAGCGCUUUUCUUUCUCCAAAAGCAGCAUGUUGCAUCUUUCCCUCGCCCUGGCAGAUGGAUUUGUACGAUUGUGCGUGCUCAGGGUUAUUGCUGCUACCUGCUAUUAGAGCAGGAAGAGCCCCGGCGUGCAGGAGAGAACAAAGCCCGAGGAUUCCCGAGCUCUCCAUUGAUGCAGAAGGCACCGGGCGGGACGUGAAAGAGAUAACAGAGAGGCAGCGAGAUCCUCCUCCAGCGCUCCCCCUCCCUCGCCCUCCGAUUCAAGGAGCCGAGGCUGGUUUGUGAAUGAGGAGCCGGAGCUCGUUCAGACGGAACAAAUACCAAUAAAGGAGCACAAUAGCGGCUGCUCCCGAGCCGCAGCCGGCAAGGAAAAGGUAGCAGCUCUCAAGAGGGGGCUUAUUUCCCGAGGAGUCAUUGGUGCGUGGCAGAUGGAAGGAACUAAUAAAAUAUUAUGGACUUGCAGAGCUUUGAUCUUCCUGCGUUUUUUCAUUUUCCCCCUUCUUCCCAAGGGUACAGGCUGAGUUAUCGAAAUGAAUAGGGUGGAAAUCUCAUUUGGAAAAGGCUGCCCUGGCAGCAUGGCUUGUGGAGGGAAUGUCAGCAGCCUGCUCCAGCACCAUGCUUUGGUGUGGGCUGGAUUUUUACAGCAGCACGUUUUCAUCACUUUUGAAGCACCUGUACCCUUUCCCAUUCUGUUCCCAUGGCAUCUUUCUGCCUGCUUGCAGGUCAGCUGGAGCAGGAGUG